RNAcentral lists this long non-coding RNA (253 nucleotides) under Taeniopygia guttata (zebra finch). RNAcentral's name for it is "lncRNA (ENSTGUG00000023649.1)". Lineage: Eukaryota; Metazoa; Chordata; Aves; Passeriformes; Estrildidae. The record is from RNAcentral.
UCCUCACUGAAGAAGUGGAGUUUUUUCAUCGACUUCGUGAGUACUAUGACUUUACCCAUUAUUUCUACUGGUAAUGAUAGCUCUGCCCUUAGAAUUGCCUCUCCAGAUGGUGGAUCAAAAUUAGCAAUACAGAAGGUUAGCAUUUUGCUAUAAGCAAGGGAUGAGGACAUCAAUCAUUUGUUUGUGCCCUGGGAAAAUGAAAGGAGGAGAGUCUGAUUCUGAAUCUUACCAAAGAUUAUUAAUGAGUAACAAG